ACGGAGGCAGCAGUGAGGAAUAUUGGUAAAUGGGCGAGAGCCUGAACCAGCCAAGUAGCGUGAAGGAUGACGGCACUAUGGGUUGUAAACUUCUUUUUCCGGGGGAUAAAGUGACCCACGUGUGCGUUAUUGCAGGUACCCGGUGAAUAAGGACCGGCUAAUUCCGUGCCAGCAGCCGCGGUAAUACGGAAGGUCCGAGCGUUAUCCGGAUUUAUUGGGUUUAAAGGGAGCGUAGGUGGAAAUGUAAGUCAGCCGUCAAAGCGCGGAGCUCAACUCCGGCCAGCGGUUGAAACUGUGUUGCUUGAGUGCGCAAGAGGCAGGUGGAAUUCGAGGUGUAGCGGUGAAAUGCUUAGAUAUCUCGAAGAACUCCGAUUGCGAAGGCAGCUUGCUGGGGGGCAACUGACGCUGAGGCUCGAAGGUGCGGGUAGCAAACAGGAUUAGAUACCCUGGUA
RNAcentral lists this ribosomal RNA (452 nucleotides) under uncultured bacterium. RNAcentral's name for it is "partial 16S ribosomal RNA". It matches the Rfam family "Bacterial small subunit ribosomal RNA", at positions 341 to 792 of the family's 1533-position model. The record is from RNAcentral.